This 380-nucleotide ribosomal RNA is filed under the name uncultured fungus. RNAcentral describes it as "SSU rRNA". It matches the Rfam family "Eukaryotic small subunit ribosomal RNA", at positions 827 to 1208 of the family's 1831-position model. The record is from RNAcentral. Lineage: Eukaryota; Fungi.
CGCGCGGUUCUAUUUUGUUGGUUUAUAGGACCGCCGUAAUGAUUAAUAGGGACAGUCGGGGGCAUCAGUAUUCAACUGUCAGAGGUGAAAUUCUUGGAUCAGUUGAAGACUAACUACUGCGAAAGCAUUUGCCAAGGAUGUUUUCAUUAAUCAGGAACGAAAGUUAGGGGAUCGAAGACGAUCAGAUACCGUCGUAGUCUUAACCAUAAACUAUGCCGACUAGGGAUCGGACGGUGUUAUUCAUGACCCGUUCGGCACCUUACGAGAAAUCAAAGUGCUUGGGCUCCAGGGGGAGUAUGGUCGCAAGGCUGAAACUUAAAGAAAUUGACGGAAGGGCACCACCAGGGGUGGAGCCUGCGGCUUAAUUUGACUCAACACGG